GCAUAUCAAUAAGCGGAGGAAAAGAAACCAACAGGGAUUGCCUCAGUAACGGCGAGUGAAGCGGCAACAGCUCAAAUUUGAAAUCUGGCCUCUUUGGGGUCCGAGUUGUAAUUUGUAGAGGAUGUUUCGGGCACCGCUCCGGUUUAAAUUUCUUGGAACAGAAUGUCAAAGAGGGUGAGAACCCCGUCUUGGACCGGCAGUAGGGCCCAUGUGAAACUCCUUCGACGAGUCGAGUUGUUUGGGAAUGCAGCUCAAAAUGGGUGGUAAAUUUCAUCUAAAGCUAAAUAUUGGCCAGAGACCGAUAGCGCACAAGUAGAGUGAUCGAAAGAUGAAAAGCACUUUGAAAAGAGAGUUAAACAGUACGUGAAAUUGUUGAAAGGGAAGCGCUUGCAACCAGACUUGCGCGCGGCGGUUCCCCCUUCCUUUUGGUUGGGUUAUUCCGCCGUGUCCAGGCCAACAUCGGUUCUGGGGGUCGGUUAAAGGCCUGGGGAAUGUAUCUACCCUUCGGGCGUAGACUUAUAGCCCCGGGUGUCAUGCGACCUCCCGGGACCGAGGAACGCGCUUCGGCUCGGAUGUUGGCGUAAUGGUUGUCAGCGACCCGUCUUGAAACACGGACCAAGGAGUCUAACAUCUAUGCGAGUGUUUGGGUGUCAAACCCGGAACGCGGAAUGAAAGUGAACGGAGGUAGGAAGCUUCGGCUGCACUAUCGACCGAUCCUGAUGUCUUCGGAUGGAUUUGAGUAAGAGCAUAGCUGUUGGGACCCGAAAGAUGGUGAACUAUGCCUGAAUAGGGUGAAGCCAGAGGAAACUCUGGUGGAGGCUCGCAGCGGUUCUGACGUGCAAAUCGAUCGUCAAAUUUGGGUAUAGGGCGAAAGACUAAUCGAACCAUCUGGUAGCUGGUUCUGCCGA
Molecule: ribosomal RNA, 908 nt
Filed under: Exophiala dermatitidis
Lineage: Eukaryota; Fungi; Ascomycota; Eurotiomycetes; Chaetothyriales; Herpotrichiellaceae
Description: LSU rRNA
Rfam family: Eukaryotic large subunit ribosomal RNA
Source: RNAcentral